Long non-coding RNA from Bos indicus x Bos taurus (hybrid cattle), 632 nucleotides. NCBI's taxonomy places the organism in Eukaryota, Metazoa, Chordata, Mammalia, Artiodactyla, Bovidae. The record is from Ensembl.
CUUCCUCAAGGCCUAGGUUGGAAGUGGAUUCCCAUUUGGUGGAGCGAGUCAUGCUCUGGGACAGAUUCCUCUAACUUGCCAGAAAUGUAAGCAUUUUAUUUGUUUAGAGCUGUAUAGCUGCACCAAGAUCUCAAGGCCCUUGAGAUACAUGGAAGCAGAGCUUUGCAAGGGGAUGACUGUGAUGAUCAUUUUUGGACCUGGGUGCUGAUGUCAGCUUUUUUUUUUUUCUUUUUCUUUUGCACAACGCAAGUACAAUCCCAAUGUACAGGCCUGUGACAUCACCAAAAAAGAUUACGUCCUAUGAUACAAAAAUGAUAACGAUAUAAUGGUUCCACUCAUGUGAUUGCUGGCAAUGAACUCUUCUUGUCCUAUCCCCUCACAUAUUUCUGGGAGACCCCAAAGAGGUGUAAUUCGUGCUCCGUGCUUUCCUCGGCAGCCUUCCUCUACAUGGUGACUCAGGGAUCCAGGAAUUUUCCAUAGAGGGACAUGGGAAACAAAUGGCCCCAGAAGUUACCACAAGGAAAGGGUAAAGCUGUAUGGGCAGACAAAUCCCAAGCCCUGCAGAAGUGCUGUGCUGAGAGUGCUGGGGCAGCCCUACGGAAGGAGGCUGGGAGUGGGUACCCCACCACCAG